Molecule: ribosomal RNA, 500 nt
Filed under: Bacillus sp. BPRCHR
Lineage: Bacteria; Bacillati; Bacillota; Bacilli; Caryophanales; Bacillaceae
Description: bacterial SSU rRNA
Rfam family: Bacterial small subunit ribosomal RNA
Source: RNAcentral
UUGAACCGCAUGGUUGCAUUUAUAAAAAGUGGCUUUUAGCUACCACUUACAGAUGGACCCGCGGCGCAUUAGCUAGUUGGUGAGGUAACGGCUCACCAAGGCGACGAUGCGUAGCCGACCUGAGAGGGUGAUCGGCCACACUGGGACUGAGACACGGCCCAGACUCCUACGGGAGGCAGCAGUAGGGAAUCUUCCGCAAUGGACGAAAGUCUGACGGAGCAACGCCGCGUGAGUGAUGAAGGUUUUCGGAUCGUAAAACUCUGUUGUUAGGGAAGAACAAGUACCGUUCGAAUAGGGCGGUACCUUGACGGUACCUAACCAGAAAGCCACGGCUAACUACGUGCCAGCAGCCGCGGUAAUACGUAGGUGGCAAGCGUUGUCCGGAAUUAUUGGGCGUAAAGCGCGCGCAGGCGGUUUCUUAAGUCUGAUGUGAAAGCCCCCGGCUCAACCGGGGAGGGUCAUUGGAAACUGGGGAACUUGAGUGCAGAAGAGGAGAGUGG